Non-coding RNA from Podarcis lilfordi (Lilford's wall lizard), 122 nucleotides. NCBI's taxonomy places the organism in Eukaryota, Metazoa, Chordata, Lepidosauria, Squamata, Lacertidae. The record is from the annotation of a GenBank genome assembly.
GAAUGUUGGAAACUUUCUCUCUCUCUCUCUCUCUCUCUCUCUCUCUCUCUGUGUGUGUGUGUGUGUGUGUGAGAGAGAGAGAGUGAGAGAGAGAGAGAGAGAUCUAAGAGUAUACCUUGUAU